Molecule: long non-coding RNA, 314 nt
Filed under: Elaeis guineensis (African oil palm)
Lineage: Eukaryota; Viridiplantae; Streptophyta; Magnoliopsida; Arecales; Arecaceae
Description: long non-coding RNA (EGUI_LNC032664)
Source: RNAcentral
CUCCUCCAUAGCACAAUGUCACUUUUCAGUAUUGGUGGACUCACGUGCCUCUCUGUAUAAAGUUGGCUUGUCCUCCUCCGUCAAAACAACAUAAGCACAAAUAUGAUUAGCAGAAGGAAUGAAAGAAGUGACAUAGUCAUCAUAUCUGGCAGGAGGUCUAAUGACCCUCCUAAGCCGCUCAGACUCUAUUGGCGGCUCUUUCAAUGAGAGAGCAUCCUCAUGAGAUUGUGGAGAUUGUGGAGACUCUGCACCUGAUUCAUCAUCAACUACCUCAUCGUUCUCUUAUGCUUGCUCUGCUUGCAUCUCGUCACCUG